Molecule: ribosomal RNA, 915 nt
Filed under: uncultured archaeon
Lineage: Archaea
Description: bacterial SSU rRNA
Rfam family: Archaeal small subunit ribosomal RNA
Source: RNAcentral
UCUGGUUGAUCCUGCCAGAGGUUACUGCUAUCGAGGUUCGACUAAGCCAUGCGAGUCGAAUGUAGCAAUACAUGGCGAACUGCUCAGUAACACGUGGACAACCUGCCCUUAGGUUGGGUAUAAACCCGGGAAACUGGGUAUAAUACCCGAUAGGUCUCGAUUGCUGGAAUGCAUCGAGAUUUAAAGCUCCGGCGCCUAAGGAUGGGUCUGCGGCCUAUCAGGUAGUAGUGGGUGUAGCGUACCUACUAGCCUACGACGGGUACGGGUUGUGAGAGCAAGAGCCCGGAGAUGGAUUCUGAGACACGAAUCCAGGCCCUACGGGGUGCAGCAGGCGCGAAAACUUUACAAUGCUGGCAACAGCGAUAAGGGAACCUCGAGUGCCAGGUUACAAAUCUGGCUGUCGAGAUGCCUAAAAAGCAUUUCAUAGCAAGGGCCGGGCAAGACCGGUGCCAGCCGCCGCGGUAACACCGGCGGCUCGAGUGGUAACCGUUAUUAUUGGGUCUAAAGGGUCUGUAGCCGGCCGGAUAAGUCUCUUGAGAAAUCUGGCAGCUUAACUGUCAGGCUUUCAGGAGAUACUGUCUGGCUCGAGGCCGGGAGAGGUGAGAGGUACUUCAGGGGUAGGGGUGAAAUCUUGUAAUCCUUGAAGGACCACCAGUGGCGAAGGCGUCUCACCAGAACGGACCUGACGGCAAGGGACGAAAGCUAGGGGCACGAACCGGAUUAGAUACCCGGGUAGUCCUAGCCGUAAACGAUACUCGCUAGGUGUCGGCCACGGUGCGACCGUUGUCGGUGCCGUAGGGAAGCCGUGAAGCGAGCCACCUGGGAAGUACGGCCGCAAGGCUGAAACUUAAAGGAAUUGGCGGGGGAGCACCACAACGGGUGGAGCUUGCGGUUUAAUUGGAUUCAACGCCGGAA